Molecule: ribosomal RNA, 404 nt
Filed under: Cupedora lorioliana
Lineage: Eukaryota; Metazoa; Mollusca; Gastropoda; Stylommatophora; Camaenidae
Description: partial 16S ribosomal RNA
Rfam family: Archaeal large subunit ribosomal RNA
Source: RNAcentral
CAAAAACAUAGCUGUGUGAUAUCACUCAUAGUAUUUUCUGCUCAAUGAAUUUUAAAUAGCCGCAGUACCCUGACUGUGCAAAGGUAGCGUAAUCAGUUGGCUUCUAAUUAAAGUCUCGUAUCAAAGAACAUAUGGGGGUCUACUAUACCAGUAAUAUGUAAUGAACUUACUUAGAGGGUGCAAAUACCCUCCCACCUUAAUAGACGAGAAGACCCUAGAAAUUUUUACAAACGUUUUUGUUGGGGCAACAUAGUAACAGAAAACUUACUCUAUACAUACAGGAAAAGACUUAGGAAGCGGAAAUUACUCUAGGGAUAACAGCAUAAUGUAUAAUCGUUUGUGACCUCGAUGUUGGACUAGGAAGUUAUAACCUAAAAGGUGUUUAAUUAUGCUCUGUUCGAGCA